UAGGGAAUCUUCCGCAAUGGACGCAAGUCUGACGGAGCAACGCCGCGUGAGUGAAGAAGGUUUUCGGAUCGUAAAACCCUGUUGUUAGAGAAGAACAAGUGCUAGAGUAACUGUUAGCGCCUUGACGGUAUCUAACCAGAAAGCCACGGCUAACUACGUGCCAGCAGCCGCGGUAAUACGUAGGUGGCAAGCGUUGUCCGGAUUUAUUGGGCGUAAAGCGAGCGCAGGCGGUUCCUUAAGUCUGAUGUGAAAGCCCCCGGCUCAACCGGGGAGGGUCAUUGGAAACUGGGGAACUUGAGUGCAGAAGAGGAGAGUGGAAUUCCAUGUGUAGCGGUGAAAUGCGUAGAUAUAUGGAGGAACACCAGUGGCGAAGGCGACUCUCUGGUCUGUAACUGACGCUGAGGCUCGAAAGCGUGGGUAGCAAACAGGAUUAGAUACCCUGGUAGUCCACGCCGUAAACGAUGAGUGCUAAGUGUUGGAGGGUUUCCGCCCUUCAGUGCUGCAGUUAACGCAUUAAGCACUCCGCCUGGGGAGUACGACCGCAAGGUUG
RNAcentral lists this ribosomal RNA (550 nucleotides) under uncultured bacterium. RNAcentral's name for it is "bacterial SSU rRNA". It matches the Rfam family "Bacterial small subunit ribosomal RNA", at positions 355 to 896 of the family's 1533-position model. The record is from RNAcentral.